This 504-nucleotide ribosomal RNA is filed under the name uncultured fungus. RNAcentral's name for it is "SSU rRNA". It matches the Rfam family "Eukaryotic small subunit ribosomal RNA", at positions 569 to 1077 of the family's 1831-position model. Lineage: Eukaryota; Fungi. The record is from RNAcentral.
AGCAGCCGCGGUAAUUCCAGCUCCAAUAGCGUAUAUUAAAGUUGUUGCAGUUAAAAAGCUCGUAGUUGAAUUUCGGGAUCAGUUCGCUGGUCGUGCCUCUGGUAUGUACUGGUGUUACUGGUUCCUCCCUUCUGACGAACUGUCAUGUCAUUUAUUUGGUGUGGUAGGGAAUCAGGACUGUUACUUUGAAAAAAUUAGAGUGUUUAAAGCAGGCUCGCGCUUGAAUACAUUAGCAUGGAAUAAUGAAAUAGGACGUUCGAUCCUAUUUUGUUGGUUUCUAGGAUUGACGUAAUGAUUAAUAGGGAUAGUUGGGGGCAUUAGUAUUCAAUUGUCAGAGGUGAAAUUCUUGGAUUUAUUGAAGACUAACUACUGCGAAAGCAUUUGCCAAGGAUGUUUUCAUUAAUCAAGAACGAAAGUUAGGGGAUCGAAGACGAUCAGAUACCGUCGUAGUCUUAACCAUAAACUAUGCCGACUAGGGAUCGGAUGAUGUUAAUUUUUUAAUGA